Molecule: ribosomal RNA, 354 nt
Filed under: uncultured bacterium
Lineage: Bacteria
Description: bacterial SSU rRNA
Rfam family: Bacterial small subunit ribosomal RNA
Source: RNAcentral
AGAGUUUGAUCAUGGCUCAGGAUGAACGCUAGCUACAGGCUUAACACAUGCAAGUCGAGGGGAAACGACAUCGAAAGCUUGCUUUUGAUGGGCGUCGACCGGCGCACGGGUGAGUAACGCGUAUCCAACCUGCCCAUCACUUGGGGAUAACCUUGCGAAAGUAAGACUAAUACCCAAUGAUAUCUCUAGAAGACAUCUGAAAGAGAUUAAAGAUUUAUCGGUGAUGGAUGGGGAUGCGUCUGAUUAGCUUGUUGGGCGGGGUAACGGCCCACAAGGCUACGAUCAGUAGGGGUUCUGAGAGGAACGGUCCCCCACAUUGGAACUGAGACACGGUCCAACUCCGUACGGGAGGCA